RNAcentral lists this long non-coding RNA (466 nucleotides) under Pan troglodytes (chimpanzee). Its description in RNAcentral is "long non-coding RNA NONPTRT002023". Lineage: Eukaryota; Metazoa; Chordata; Mammalia; Primates; Hominidae. The record is from RNAcentral.
UGUAUAUGGCAGGGGUGUUAGGAAAGAUUUGAUCUGAACUCCUCAUUGUGCCGAUAAAGAAACUAAGGAAGAUUUUCCCAGGUCCAAAAGCCUGUUUUCCCUUCAUUUCAACGCAACGGGAACAAAUGAGAGUGUGGUAAUGGAGCCAGAAGGGGGCGCAUGAUGAUCGCUGAUGACGAAUUUUGACGGUGCAAUCUGGAUGUUAAUUUCGCUGACCUUGAAGUCAGGGUGGCCUACUUGCAGCAUUGUUCUAUAUAACUUCAGCCUCAAAUUGAAAACCAUACAUAUUUCGUGGAAGAGAACAGUCAGGCCAUGACUCACCCAGGACGACGGUCAGCGUGAUGGUGAAGAGGGACGGUAAGAAGAACCCCUAUCCAGGAGUGGGGAAUAAAACAACUAGGAUGAUUUGGAAAUGGAGAAAACUCCAUGGAGGCUGCUCCAGGAGACCUCAGCUGUCUGAAGGCCA